Molecule: ribosomal RNA, 301 nt
Filed under: uncultured bacterium
Lineage: Bacteria
Description: partial 16S ribosomal RNA
Rfam family: Bacterial small subunit ribosomal RNA
Source: RNAcentral
CAGUAGCCGCGGUAAAACGAAGGGGGCUAGCGUUGUUCGGAUUUACUGGGCGUAAAGGGUGCGUAGGCGGAUUGUUAAGUCAGGGGUGAAAUCCCGAGGCUCAACCUCGGAACUGCCUUUGAUACUGGCGAUCUUGAGUCCGGGAGAGGUGAGUGGAACUGCGAGUGUAGAGGUGAAAUUCGUAGAUAUUCGCAAGAACACCUGUGGCGAAGGCGGCUCACUGGCCCGGAACUGACGCUGAGGCACGAAAGCGUGGGGAGCAAACAGGAUUAGAUACCCCGGUAGUCCCUGUCUCUUAUAC